GUGAGGAAUAUUGGUCAAUGGGCGUAAGCCUGAACCAGCCAAGUCGCGUGAGGGAUGACGGCCCUACGGGUUGUAAACCUCUUUUACAAGGGAAUAAAGGGCGCCAUGCGUGGUGUUUUGCAUGUACCUUGUGAAUAAGCAUCGGCUAACUCCGUGCCAGCAGCCGCGGUAAUACGGAGGAUGCGAGCGUUAUCCGGAUUCAUUGGGUUUAAAGGGUGCGUAGGUGGCUUUUUAAGUCAGCGGUGAAAGUCAGUGGCUCAACCAUUGAACUGCCGUUGAAACUGGGGAGCUUGAGUACGUACGGGGCAGGCGGAAUGCGUGGUGUAGCGGUGAAAUGCAUAGAUAUCACGCAGAACCCCGAUCGCGAAGGCAGCCUGCCAGGCCGUGACUGACACUGAUGCACGAAAGCGUGGGUAUCGAACAGGAUUAGAAACCCUAGUAGUCC
Molecule: ribosomal RNA, 445 nt
Filed under: uncultured bacterium
Lineage: Bacteria
Description: bacterial SSU rRNA
Rfam family: Bacterial small subunit ribosomal RNA
Source: RNAcentral